AUGACCUUUACCAGAUGUCGUCCACGGAUCAAAUUAUUUCGUGGAUUGGAUUUCACUUGCCUGUCUAUGGUUCCCUUGCGUGUGCUCGGGAUAGAUGUUUUGUAUAAAUGUUUUGCCGUAUUAUAA
This 126-nucleotide ribosomal RNA is filed under the name Triticum aestivum (bread wheat). Its description in RNAcentral is "partial small subunit ribosomal RNA". Lineage: Eukaryota; Viridiplantae; Streptophyta; Magnoliopsida; Poales; Poaceae. The record is from RNAcentral.